GUGAGAAAGACUCACUGUUGUGAGGACCAUUGUACAGAGAAAGAAGAGCCCAGACUCAGCUAGCUUCCUGAGAGGCAUGCAGGGCUCACCGGUUUCUGGCAUCUUGCAUGAAUUCUGCUGGGAACGGAAGUGGGUCCUAUUCAGUCACUCAUCCAUCUAGCCAUCCUUCCAGGAAGAGGCCUCUGCCUUGUGCCAGCGGUUCCUGUCUGUGGGCAUGCUUGCCUUCUUAGACUCACUGGGAGGCCAUGGAAGCUGUGCUACUGGUCAGUCCUGCAAUUGUAUGCUCUAGCCAGUGGGCAUGACAGUACAGGCAAGCUGCUGUGACCACCAGCCAUGAGGGGUGCUUCUCUCUGACCAUGCAAGGCAGUGAAACUAAGGCAUGGACGGAUGCCUUUGCUGUGCUCCUGCAAUGAAGUAUUUACUCACCACAUCAACUUGUGUGACUCAGCUAAAGAGUCCACACUCAGGCUCAGCUGUCUCUUCCUCCAGUGCCCCAGCCCCUCAAUGCACUCCAUAAUAAGCUCAAUUAUACAUCUUGACUAUGCCUCCCCAGUGCCCAGACUGUGAUCUGUCU
Molecule: long non-coding RNA, 574 nt
Organism: Mastomys coucha (southern multimammate mouse)
Lineage: Eukaryota; Metazoa; Chordata; Mammalia; Rodentia; Muridae
Exons: 3
Source: RefSeq, a predicted model, not a curated record